AACUGAAAAAGUGCUAGGGGAAGGGAAGAAAUUACUUUUUCCGUGGGAAACUGCCCUUCACAGAGUCUUUUAGGGAGUGCAAAUCUGGCUUCAGGCUGAGUUGUUUUCUGAGGAGAGCAGGGAGACAUGGUGAGGGCACAAAGGGCAUGCAUACCACAAGAGCCUUUGGAUUUAGUGCUGGAAAAAGAAGUACUACAUCAAGUGGGAAAAAGGCUUCCAGGAGAACACUACCUGCAUUUUCUAAUUCCUGUUACAUCGUUCCACACAGUUUUCAUAACAUAUGUAAGUACUUACAAAUUUUUAUCUUGGAAAAUUAUCAAACAUGUUUUAUUUACCAGGAUGCAUUUCAUUUCACAACAAAGUUUGGAAGGGGCAGAAGAGCUACUUUCCUUGGGACUGUUAAACCU
Molecule: long non-coding RNA, 407 nt
Filed under: Pogona vitticeps (central bearded dragon)
Lineage: Eukaryota; Metazoa; Chordata; Lepidosauria; Squamata; Agamidae
Description: lncRNA (ENSPVIG00000008963.1)
Source: RNAcentral